AUUGAACGCUGGCGGCAUGCCUACACAUGCAAGUCGAACGGCAGCACGGGAGCAAAUCCUGGUGGCGAGUGGCGAACGGGUGAGUAAUAUAUCGGAACGUGCCCAGUCGUGGGGGAUAACGUAGCGAAAGCUACGCUAAUACCGCAUACGAUCUAUGGAUGAAAGCGGGGGAUCGCAAGACCUCGCGCGAUUGGAGCGGCCGAUAUCAGAUUAGGUAGUUGGUGAGGUAAAGGCUCACCAAGCCGACGAUCUGUAGCUGGUCUGAGAGGACGACCAGCCACACUGGGACUGAGACACGGCCCAGACUCCUACGGGAGGCAGCAGUGGGGAAUUUUGGACAAUGGACGCAAGUCUGAUCCAGCCAUUCCGCGUGCAGGAUGAAGGCCCUCGGGUUGUAAACUGCUUUUGUACGGAACGAAAAGGUUUCUAUUAAUACUAGGAGCUCAUGACGGUACCGUAAGAAUAAGCACCGGCUAACUACGUG
RNAcentral lists this ribosomal RNA (484 nucleotides) under uncultured bacterium. Its description in RNAcentral is "bacterial SSU rRNA". It matches the Rfam family "Bacterial small subunit ribosomal RNA", at positions 30 to 507 of the family's 1533-position model. The record is from RNAcentral.